GAGGUGGGAGAGAGGAAGGAGCCUGGAAUCAGAUCAUCUUGCUUCGCCCCUUUGAUGGAGGAAAUCAAAGACAUGUGACCUCUCACCCUGCAGUAGAUCGUUUGCCAAGUUGCUCAUAACAGUCCCUUCUUGUUGUACAUGAGUUGGCUGCUCCCUGCAGCACGAAGCGGACUGGAUUUCGCCCGCUCUUCUGUCUGGGCUGGCCUGACUUGCUCUGACCAACCCUGGGCGGCCGGCGCGCGUUGUAUGCACUCUGGAGCUGAGGCGGCAGGAGGCUUUGUAGUUUCUUCCACUCCUUUGGAGCCCUGAGAUGGUCGUGUGAAGAAGUCAGGCCAGCCUCCUUGUGGAUGAUAGGACACGCCGAGGAGAGAGAAGCCCAGCUUACAAACAACAGGAGCCGCCAGACAGCUUGAACUUUAUGUGUCCACAAGAUAUUUUAAAAAGUGAAAAUAAGGAGGUCACAAUACCAACGCAGCUUUUACCCCGUAUCUCCAGCCAGAUGCACAGCCAUUAGGUGGUUAGAGACUGGAUCCUUGGGUCACUACUUGGAAGAGAACCUCCUGGCCAGGACACUGCAUGAGAGAGCAAUAAACAUUGACUGGUAACACAUUAUAGAUUCCCCAUUCAUUCCUUGGUGCCAAGAGGUGAAGAUGUUACAGCUGUUCAGAUAUUAUUCUGUACAACCCAUGGAACAUAUUGAACAGAAGCUCAAACUUCAACUGCAAAAAGUACAAGAAAAUCCAACAAUAUGCACCACUCCCCUCGGGGGCGAGGCUGCCAGGGGAGGAAGGAAAAGCACACGCUUAAAGGGAGCUGCGCCAGCUUGGACCUGAACCUCAGGACUUCUGUUCCAGCAACUUGGGACCUGACCUAGCUCCUGACAGGGCAGUGACAGCCACCAAGCAGACGGAAAGCCCAGCUUCACACCUAGCUCCGGAACUGGCCCCUCAUCUCCUGCUUCACCUCCCGCCAAGGUGACAGCUGCCAGCACACCCUGAGGGAAGAUGGGACUUGUGUUCAUUUCAAUUACAGCUCUCCCAAAACCAACCCUAAAAUGUUACAAUGUCUUCUCUAAGAGGAAAAGAAAAAGCUGUAACAAGAAGUAGGUAUCACUAGGAAAGGAAAAAUCCCACUAGUAAAGGCAAAUAUAAAGGCGAAGGAUCCACCACUUAAGCAAGCUAAUAAAAAGAUAAAAUAAAAAAAUUGUAAUAUCAAGCACAACUACAAUAAUCAGUAAAGAGAUGAACAUGAAGAUAUAAAAUAUGACAUAAAAAACAACAUGUGGGGGAAGGGAGUUAAAACAUAGAUCUUUUAGAAUGUAUUUGACCCUAAAAGAAUACCUGUUUAAAACAGACAGAUCUAAUUCACAGGCCAACAUAUAUGAAUCCCAUGGUAACCAGAAAUCAAAAACCUACCAUAGAUACACAAAGACAACAGAGAAAGGAACACAAAGAUACCACUAAAAAAAAUCAUUAAACCACUAGGGAAGAAAGUAAAAGAAGGAAAUAACAAGGGACAACUACAGAAACAACCAGAAAACAGCAGGAAGUACAUACCUAUCAAUAAUUACGUUAAAUGUCUCUGAACUAAAUGCUUCGAUCAAAAGACAUAGGGUUUUUCAUUGGAUUAAAAGAAAAAAAAAAACCCACCUAGAUGCUGGUUACAAGAGACUCACCUUCAGCGCUAAAGACACACAGAAUGAAAGGGUGGAAAAAGAUAUUUCAUGUAUAUGGAAACAAUAAUAAAGCUGAGGUAGGAAUAUUCAUAUGACAAAAUAAUAGACUUUAAAACAAACUCUGCAACAAAAGACAGAGAAGGGCAUUAUGUAAUGAUAAAGGAAUCAAUACAAGAAGAGGACAUUACACUUAUUAACAUAUAUGCACCUAAUACAGGAGCACCUAAAUACAUAAAGUAAAUAUUAACAGACAAAGUAAGUACUUGACAGCAAUCCAAUAACAGUAGGGGACUUUAACACCCCGCUUACCUCAAUGGACACAUCAUCCAGACAGAAAAUCAAUAAGGAAACAGUAGUCAUAAGUGACACAACAGACCAAUUGGACAUAAUAGAUAGUUAUGGGGCAUUCCAUCCCACAACAGCAGAAUACACAUUCUUUUAAAGCGCACAUGGAACAUUCUCCCAGAUAGAUGACAGGCUAGGCCACAAAUCAAGUCUCAGCAAAUUUAAGAGGAUAGAAAUUAUAUGAAGCAUUUUUUUUCUGACCACAAUGGUAUGAAUUAGAAAUAAGUUACAGGGGAAAAAAUAAGAAAAGCACAAACACGUGGAGACUAAUCAACAUGCUACUAAAAAAAAUCAAUGAGUCAAUGAAGAAAUCAAAGAGGAAAUCAGAAAAUACCUUGAGACAAAUUCAAAUGGAAACAAAACUUCCCAAACUCUAUGGGGGGGGGCAACAAAAGCAGUUUUAAGGAGAAAGUUUAUAGCGACACAGGCCUACCUCAAGAGACAACAAAAAUCUGAAAUAAAUAACUUAAUCUACCACUUAAAGGAAAAAGAA
Vicugna pacos (alpaca) is the source of this 2513-nucleotide non-coding RNA. The record is from RefSeq and is a predicted model, not a curated record. Lineage: Eukaryota; Metazoa; Chordata; Mammalia; Artiodactyla; Camelidae.